This 451-nucleotide ribosomal RNA is filed under the name uncultured bacterium. RNAcentral's name for it is "partial 16S ribosomal RNA". It matches the Rfam family "Bacterial small subunit ribosomal RNA", at positions 329 to 794 of the family's 1533-position model. The record is from RNAcentral.
GUCCAGACUCCUACGGGAGGCAGCAGUGGGGAAUAUUGGACAAUGGGGGGAACCCUGAUCCAGCGACGCCGCGUGAGUGAAGAAGUAUUUCGGUAUGUAAAGCUCUAUCAGCAGGGAAGAAAGAAAUGACGGUACCUGACUAAGAAGCCCCGGCUAACUACGUGCCAGCAGCCGCGGUAAUACGUAGGGGGCAAGCGUUAUCCGGAUUUACUGGGUGUAAAGGGGGCGCAGACGGCGAUGCAAGCCAGGGGUGAAAGCCCGGGGCGCAACACCGGGGCGGCUCGUGGAACUGCGUGGCUAGAGUGCAGGAGGGGCGGGCGGAAUUCCUGGUGUAGCGGUGAAAUGCGUAGAUAUCAGGAGGAACACCGGUGGCGAAGGCGGCCUGCUGGACUGCAACUGACGUUGAGGCCCGAAAGCGUGGGGAGCAAACAGGAUUAGAUACCCCUGUACA